ACUUCACAGUUACAUUUGGCAGGCAGGCGGGCUCGCACGCCGAAGCGCUCAGCCCAGAAUUAGUGGAUUUUAUUUGGAAUCUCCCUGCCUCCUCGAAGCUCCUCCGCCACCACCGGUUUGUGCAUAGACGGUAGCAUCCAUCAGCCAGCUGCACUUUGGGCUGCGGACACCCGGAGCCCAGCGCGCCUGCCCCGCGUCUCCGCACCAAGCUCCGCAGCUCCGAGAGGCAUGAACGGAAUCUGGAGGCGCCUGCCCAGUGCACCGGGACCGGUCAGCACUGGCCGCCCUGGAGAGCGGACCCCGAUCCCCUCCAGCCAUUUGUGAACCAGGAGGCUUGAAAUUCACCAGCUCAGAGCCCCGUAAGAGUAAGUACUCCCCCCCACUACGUAUUCCUUCAUACCCGAAGAACCAGAAGGGAUUGCUUCUUUUAGGAAUUCCCGUGUCCCUUCGGACACCUUGCGCACCUCCUUUCCCCCAGAUGGUGGAUGCGGGUUGCUAGCUCCCAACACCUACAGAGCUGCGUCUCCUUUCGCCUUACCCAUGGCUGACAGGGACGCCUAAGGGUUUUGCCUGAUGGUUUUUGCAAACUGCUCUGACAGCAGAUCCUGAAUAUCAAGCUACAGGCUGUGCCCCUCCAGUUUUCCCGGCGGUCUCCCUCCUUGCGGUCUCCUGGCGAUUUCGCCGCCUCCUGACACAGGCAGGCGCUGCUGCAGCCGCGCGCCUUCACUGCGGGGUCCGUGCGGUGAAUGGGAAGCCCCCGCCGCCUGGCGUUGAGAGGUGCGAACCCAAGGGAAAGGAGGCUGAGGGGCUCCAGGGGCCCUCUCUCUCGUUUCCUGCACUUCCUCCUCUCCAAGGCGAGGGAGGGCGAACCCCGCAAUGGGGCUGAGGGGCAUGGCUCAGCUGUGAAAGCCCCAGCGCGAGGCUUUCCCACAAGUGGCUGCUCUAGCCUGGGGGGCGCGGUGCCAGCUGCAAACUUACCCGGCUCCCGGGCUCCGAAGCCGUUUUGUAGUUGUGUCCUAGACAAGACGCUGCCCCGCAACCAGGCAGGACCCCAGGAAUCCCCCACUAGCCUCCCAGCCGGCGAUCUUGCACUCACAGAGGCCCCUGAGCAGGGGACUCCUCCAUAGCUCCUCUCCUAUGUCUCCCAGAGCCAGGAGCUGCGUUUUCUGUCAUCUAUCGGCUCUUCCUCCGAGAACCCUUGGGGGGCGGGCCGCGCCCCUCGCAGGACUGGAGGAAGAUAGGGUUUUUUCCUGGUUCUGCCAGCGCGUAACAGGUUCAUAAGGGAUCUACUCUCGUUCUGCGUGCUCCAGCCAAGGCUGCGAAACAGUGAAAACGUGCAGCCGCCAACGCUGAUGCCAACAGGUAUCCACAAUUUCCUCCGCAUCUUCCCUCCCCAAGACCAAAGCCUUCCCCAAUUCAAAUUGGCAGAAGCCUCAAAGUUUCCUGGUCAUUGACCCUCCCCGCAGGCACCGAGCCGCGGCACGUCAAGGACCAGUCGUUUGCCUCCGAGAGCGGAGAUGGCAGCUGUUUGCUUGGGUUGCUAAAUGUAAGAAAUCAAACGACAUUAAUUGUUUAUUGUUGCAAACGCACAACAUUUGUCCGUAAUGGAAAAUCAGGCUGGCAGCUGCUCACUUCAGCUCCAAUUAAAGGAUAGAGCUUAUAACGAGAGGAGCAGGAGAGAGAAAAGGCCCUUUCAACUUUACCACCGUUUCCUGAAGAUUCCACAAGAGUUUCCUCUUCAGGGGGCGAGAUCCGACAAUCCCUUAGCGCGCCAGAGCUGCUAAUCAGAUCAGCCGGCUGUUUUCUGUCACUGGGCUUCACGGUAUUUGUGGGCUGGCAAUGGGAAGGAGGGGACUCCGGAGAAGGUAUGUGAGAGCUGAGCCCUCUCGCAUCGGGCACCGUCGCCAAGCAGAUAGAAAGGGGACUGGGGUUGGUUGGGGCCGUGUUGAAGCGCCUGUCCUCCCUAUAACAGAGCUGACAGCCAUCUCAAUGGUUAAAAAUUCGCCUUGGGUUGUCACCUCCGAUUUCAUUAUAGCAGCUUUUGAACUGGAAAACUAUAUGUGGGAAACAGAUAUUUAUGUAAGAUUUGAGAGUGGGAUUUUCCAUCCAUUCAGCCUCGCCGCUGUACUUCACUGCAUGCAAAAUGAGCCCUGUCGUUCAUGCUAAACACCACUGAAAUCUCUUCCUGGCUAGUGCCUUUCAUCAGUUGUGUCCAGUUUUACAGAGAUUUCUUCUGGAGUGAGUGUGUGUGUGCAAGAGAGACAGAGACAGAGAAAGAGAGAUAUUCUUCUAGUGAAAGUACUGAAACCUCUGAAGGAUGUUUUGUGAAUGUUACAUUUUUUUUUUCCUUAAAAAGAGCUCUCCGUAAUCAUCAUGUCCAGACAUAUUUUCCACUUCUCUGAGCUCUGAAAGAAAUUCUAGGGCUCUCCCCCUUAUUAAAUAUAAUACCGAUAAUAAUAUUCUGUAAUUCUGCUUUAGCAGAUUUGAAUCCCCUUGUCAUAGAGUCAUUUCAUGCUAGAGCAGUUGCAGGAUUUUAAAUCAUAUUUUAUAUAUAUAUAUAAAAUAUUCAUAUAUAUAUAUAUAUAUAUAUAUAUAUAUAUAUAUAUAUAUAUAUAUUUCCCCCCCUGGACUAUGAAGAGGGUGAGGAGUUGAAGAUAAUUCCUCCUGAAAACAGUCUUUCCAGCAACCUAGGGUACUGCUUCAUUCUGGACUGUUCAAUAGCAGUUUGUCCUCCUUAGUCUGUUCAGUAUGCCACCCAAAUGAGUGUCAGGGUAUCUGCUGACUGUCAUAAAUAGGACAGAUAUUUUAGAGACACUGGCUAAUGAUCUCUGAAAUUCGUGCUGUAAUGCUGUCAUUUAAACUUUUUCAUCUUUCCUCCCUGCAAAUUGGAUCUUAGGUUUCUAAUUAUUAUUACAAUUAAAAUCAAUGCUUCUGCUUUGUAAUUUGUAGUCUCCCCCAGCCCUGAAGACUCCAGAUGGGUAAAUCUCUGCACCCAGGACUCUGUAACAUUUCUUGGCUGCAUUUCUGGUGUCCAGAUGCAUAUCUUGAGUUCUUAUAGCUGUGUGAAUGUGGAUGAAGAACAAACAGAUCGUUUUGGAGAAGCCCUCACUAGGAGCAGCUCCACUUACUUAGUAACUAUACACAUAUAAACUAUGAAGGCAAGGAAGUCUUUCACUUGGAAAAUUACUCUUGAGUAUUUUAUAAAACUAGGCUCAAGACAGCAUUCAUCUAAUACAACUUCUCAAUUUAGUAGCGAAAGUGAGCACAGUUUAAGGUGUCACUGGUAGCCUGACCCAUGUCAAUAAACAAACAGGACAAACAAAUACCACAUAAAAUCUGCUCACCAGGAGUAGAUCACUUGAGGGCAUUUGUAAAGACUGAUCUGUGAAUAUUCUCAUCAGGUAACAUUUCCUGAAAAUUAUGCAGAGAUUUAAGGUCUGAUACUCCUUGUUAGCCUGAAGGAUCAGAUUGUUGGAGCAAAGCAAGGCAACUUCAAAGACUAAGAAUAUAAUGAUUGUACUCAAGAAAUUGUACCUCUGGGCUUUGCUUUCCAGGUUCUUUUCCUUGUUUAUUGGUGGGGAAAAGGAGCAUGCACAUACUAAAAGGGUUAGAGUUCACACUUCAAUAACUGUUCAGAAAACCUUCUCAAUAUAAUAAAUUAAUGUUUUAAAGGAAAACAAUCUUCAUUUUUCUACUCAAGUUUCCGCUCUUCACGGCUUUAUCAACAUUCUAAUUUGAACAAGUUUUCCAUGCAAAACCAAAAGCUUUCAAUGGAUAAAUUGACACUCAAUUUAUAUUUCCAUCAGAAAAGUUUUGUGUUUGACAAAUCGAUGAACAAGUAGAAUCAGAGUACCCUUUCAAUUAUAGGUGCAAUUUAAAGGUCCCAAGACUUUCUUAUAAAGAUAUUGUGUUCAGCAUUGCUGCUAAUAUUAGUUUCAAUGAUUUUAUUAUUUGUUUCAAAGUCAUUCAGUGAAUCAGAGAAUAAAAAUACAGUUUGCUUUUUGCAGUUUGCAUUCAGUAUUGUUGGCAUUCAAUAAUGGGGCUAGAUUUGCUUUUUAAUUCAGAAGAAACUCCUGACUUGAGUAUAUCAUACAUCUCUUAGAGGAUGUAGGCAUUAACCAAAAAGGAGAUUAUUGUUGAUAUCUGUUAUGUGUUACACACACAUUCGCACACACACACACACAUACACACAAACACACACCCAGCUUCUUGAAAAUAUGACCAGGUAACUAACUCUUUAUUGGUUCAAAUAUGAGAAUUUUGUGGUAUUUCCUUUGCCAUUUCAUCUGCCUUUGAUAACUUGACUGAUUUGUGUAUUUGUGUAUUGAUUAGUCUUUAAGAUAUGUUAUCUGUGGUGCUGGGAAUUGCUCCCCAGAAUCCCAUAAGUGUACUGUUAUGAAGCUGAACAAUUUUUGAUGGUAAAAGGCCAGCAUCUGAUUUUCUGAGGCUUAAUUAACCAAAGGGCUAUUAGUCGUUCUCCUCUCAUUCUCACAGAAAGUUGGGAUGCUCAAUCUAUUUCUGCUGAAUUGUUGGUUCCUGCCUCUGGAACCCGCUUCAGAUGUAACCAAGAGAAGAAAAUUAGUUGAACCUGGCAACUUCAAAAGGUCAGAAAAGAAAUAAGUUCAAGGGCUGCCAUUUAGCUGCUUCUCCCAUAUGUUGCUGCUAACUAAAUCUCCAUUGCCACUUCAUGGUGCAGCAGUGAGGCCAUAUCCCAAGCUUUUAUUUCCUGAGUUUUAAAUGUCAUGUGCUAUUCCCUAUCAUAACAUCACUCACCUUCUUUAAACAUCUCUUUUUUUAAAAAGUUCUAUUGGUAAAUAGAAAUAUAUAGAAAUGAUUUUCUAUCUCUUUGGAAAGUAUCACAAACAAUAAUACCUGUAUUGAUAACCUUCAAGCCCUUUCCUUUCCUGCCACCCCCACCCCCACACCCCACUGUGCAAGACAACUGCAAAUGCCAGGAGGAUUUGGUCUAAGGCCAAGUAUAGAAUUAGUGCCUGGUAAAUAUUUAUUUGAUGAACUAAGAAAUUAGGAAAGAUGAGGCUACCCCUACCUUUGCUAGGCUAUUUUCCAUAAAGGGGAGGGAGGGAAUGCAAUCUUAUCCAAAGUCCAAUAUUGGGAUUAGGUACUACAAUUUUCUCUACAGAAAUUUCAUAAAUCCUCCUAAGUUUAUUUUUAGACAGAGCUUUUCUCAUAUUUUAAAAUCAAUUUUACCCAUGUUCCACAAAGCAUAUUUUUUCUCCCUUCACAAUCAUUUUUUUUAAACGAUUGCGGAAUAUAAAAAAAAAAUGACAUAAUUCAGCUUUGUAAAAAUGAGAAUGCCUCCAAGACUAGACUGGCAUCACAGAAUGCUAUUAAACUGUAUGUGAUGCAGAGUUAUAUUUUAUUGGGUGAAAUGGUCUAAUUGUGUAAGCAGUAUAUGGGUAACUCAAUGUCUGUACUUUUUCCUUGGUUAGUAUGUGUGAAAAAAUUGACCAACGAGGAAAUUCCUUCCUCUGUAUUUUCUUGGUUUCAUCCUGCUUUCUCUUUCUCUCUUUAACAUAUUUUUGUGUGUUUAAUAGAAUAGUUCAUGAUAAACUCAUAUGAAUUACAGUCUGGGUGUCUUUGAAGGCACACUCCUCUUUAUUGAUUCCAUACUCCAUACUCCUCUGUAUUGAUUUUAAUCAGAAGGAUACCUGGCCCUUACAUUCACCCACAGGGGAAAAAAAAUAUGUCAGUAGAAGAUGCUUCUGUGGAUGUGUUUAUUGGUAUUUUAGGCAUGUUGAAAUAUUUAAACAUGUUGAAUAUGUUUAAGGAUAUUUUAUUUAACUUUCUUUUUAAUCUUUUUAUUUUAAAAAUUAUUUACUUAAUUUUUGUGGUGCUGAGAAUCAAACCCAGGGCCUCAUGCAUGCUAGGCAGGCACUCUACUAUGGCAUCACAUCCUCAAACCUCCUUAAUCUUUUUAUGUACAUCAUUAAGUGAAAAUGUUGUAGUAUAUUUAUGUUCUGUUAGCAUCGAGGACAAUAUUUUUGUGUCUCAUUUCUGUCUAGAUAGAAUAUGCAUAGAAUAUGAUUAUUCAAUCCCUGAUGUGACACAAAUGACACAGAGUAAAGUAGACGGGAGAGAUGAGAUAAGUAACAUAAGGGAAUGAUAUCCCUUUUUUAUAUGGACAAUCUUAUUUCCAAAAUUUGAUAUAAAAUUUACAAAGGCACAUUCCACUCUUUAUUUGUCUAUUUGUCAAGCUGUUUGAGUUUGACAAAUAGGAUUUAACAUUAUGUCUAACUCUUACCAUCUUCAGAAUAGCAAUGCUAAGAAAAAUGAAACACAAAUCAUACUUAUUUGAUUAAAGCAGUAAAACUUACUUGCCUUUCAGUUUCGCUGAACCAUAGUAACUUGUAGUAGUAUAUUUAUCUUAGAAUCUGUGUAACCAAGUUGCUUAAUUUUGGUGCACUGUAUAUUCUGGAAAUUAACCCAAUGUUAUUUUUGUCAAAUGAUUGCUUCCAAAUGCAUGUCUGUUGACCUAUCAACCAUCUGAGUCCACAAUUCAUGUUAACAGUAUCAGUGGGUGGUUUUAAGCUAUAUAGACUUUGAAACAUGAAAGAACAACAGUAAGGUGCACUUGGAAGUGUGGUUGCUAUCUAGCAUAAUCUAAUUGAUAGAAUCUUGACUUCUUAUACCUGGAUACUUGGUUGCAUUUCAAUUUCAGUACAACUGGCUCUGUACCUCUGGUUAUGUGAUAUGAUUGCUUUUAACCAUUUCCACACAUUCUAAGUGAGAAAGGAAAGCCGCUAAUUAUUUUUAACUAUCAUCUGUAAUGCUAAAGUUUCUUAAAACAAAUAGAGUGUACUGAAUGUUUUUGGAAGAAGACACCACCUGAACCCAAUCUCUGUUAGCAUCAAUAAGAAAGGUCUGCUUCUACUAGUACAUAGAUAUCAGUUGUCUCAUACUGGCCUUAGUUGGGUCUCUCCAUUUGAACCAUUCUCACAAGAAGAUAGAUGAUUGUGAAAUGCAAUGAAAUUUUUCUUGUAGAAAAGUAGCAGGCCAUGUUUUUAAAUGACACAUGGCAUUCAAUUAAAUGACAAAUCAAUUAAAUUUGAUUGAAAGUGAGUAGCUUGGGCAUAUAUAGGGAGUGCUUGCACUUUGCUCUCUCAGCAGAAAACAGUGAUGGAAAGAAGAAAAAUACCAUUUCUUCUAAGGAAAAAGAAAAAUGACUGGCUUUAGGGGCCUAAUAAAACUAUUUAAAGUCAUUACAUUAAUUGUGUGUUAGCCUUGGAUAUGGAGAGCUAUUUAUAAAAUGCCAUUUCAUUUGUACCCAUUUUUGUUGAUGCCUUUAAAAAAAAAUCAAAAGCUGGAAAAUGUUAUUUUAUUUAUUACAUAGAAGAGUGGAAUUUUCACCUUGAUGUACACAGCAAGAGAUUGAAAUAAAGCAAUUUUUAAAAAUUAGCCACUAUUUUUUUCUAAGCACUUGCAAUACUCAGUAAAAUACCCAUGAUUGCAAUAUUGAUGACAGUUUUGCAUACCUUAUUUAAUUUCUUCCUCAAAUUUCAAGGUAUGUAGUAUGAAACACAGAGCAUCAGUUUCCUUAUCUAGUAUCAUUGUUUGAUGAAUUCACCCAGGCCAUUUAUUUGAUGCACGAUGGUGCUGUGAUUCAAAUUACUUCUAUUUGAUUUUAAAAUCAGUGCCCUGAACAACUGUCUCAUGGAACUUCCUACAGUAUUAUGAGGCUGAAAAGUAAGAUCAGUUCUGAUGGGUUACUGUGAUUUAAAAGGCCAGCACAAAAUGCUUUCACACAUUAAGUCUUUGGAUAUUAAAUGGUGAACAUAUGAUUUAAAGGCAACCAAGGAAGGAAGAUUCAACUUAGACAUAAACGAAUUUUCUGGUACCACUGUGUAAUUAGCAACAGAAGUUAAGACAUACACUUGGAUUUUUCAGGACAAUCUCAAUAAAUUUAUGUCUUAAGAGAGUUCAGAAGAAUAGAUUCAUCUUUAAUAUCAUAACUAAACUUAUGAAUCUAACAAAGUUUUAGAAGUAAAGUUCUGGUCCAGUAACAGUAGAGAAUGACUCUUGUUUUCACUUUCUUGUUUUUGUCCCAAGUUUAGUUCCCCCCAUUCUGGUAUAUCUGUAACAGAUUCAAAAGUUCCUAUCUGAAGAAUCAAUUUCUGACUCCAUUUUGAGGAAGGAGGAGGAGGAGAAAACCUUUCUUUCUUUCUUUCUUUUUGUUAAGGUAACCAGCAACUAUAAAACUUAAGACAAAUUUUCAAGUAAAAAAGAGUAGCAUGUCAAUAACUCUAUUUAUAUUUGGACACAUGCAAAUGUCAUUUCUCUCUGAUAUCCAAAGCUUCCUUACCUGUUCAGCUUCAGUCACCCAGGGCUUGACUUGAAUAGCACUGGGCCACACAUUGAAUCCCUUCCCCUGUGUUCCUGAAAUAACACCACUUCAAAUUCAAUGUGCAUUUACCUGUUUGAAGCAGCCUGCUAAUGGCUCUAAAUUCAAGGUCAGAAACAUUUUUAAUAGAAAUUCUCUGGUCUUGUGUGUCAUUUGUGCUUCUAUGAAAUAUUGUGGCCACUAAAUCCAGUGAUAAUGAAAGCAUAAUUUCCUGUCAACCACAAUAAUCUUCUGGAUUGAAUCCCAAAGUACCUUUAAGAGCCUCUUUUUAUUUUAAAGUUCACUCGUCAGUGUGUAACUUAUCAUUUGGAACUUCAAUCCAUGUUGUUUACAGAAUUCAUGGUGUAAUAUGCCUUUACAUAAUCAUUUAACAUAUCUGAGAAUUGACUAAGUUUACCUUAAAAAAGGGUUGGGGUCAACAGAGUGACAACCAGGCUGUAAUUAGAACUGUAUCUAACAUAUGAAUAUGAAUGAAAAAUCAGGUUACAAGUAUUUUAUCCAAGGGAUUCGAUCUUUUUUUGGAGGAAUUCUAAAAACUCUUUUACGUGUAAAAAUUCCAGAGGGUAUAAAAAUCUCCUCACAUCACUAUGUGGGUGUAAAUCAAUGCUUUAGCAUUAUAAUAAAGUGGGUUGCUUGGCCAGACAUAGAUAUUGUGGUUGGAAAAUGUAAAAAUAAAUUGAUUUUUUUAACUCAGGCUUUACAACCUUGCUUAAUUUCUUCUUCCUUGCAGAGAGUUAAGCAGUUGGUAUAUGCAGCUACUAUUCGCAGUGGUUAUUAAUUCUGAUAACAGUGACAUAAUGUUUGGUUGCAUCUCCAGAACUCCUAUAGAGCUAUUCUCUGAUCUUAUAAAAGGGCAAUAUUAAUUCUGCUGGUGACAGAAGUUCAAGUAUAUAAAUAGUAUGGCUCUCGGUGUGACAGUAGAAUCCUGCUUCUCUCCAAGUGGAAGAUCCUUUGAAGGCUGAAUCUCACCGCUUCAUGAUUGCAUGCAUGUGCACGAGGACACACCAGUUAGCUGGGCCGUUUUCCCAGUAUCACACAUAAAAUAAAAGGAGAGGGAAUGGAUAAAGCAUCAUGCCACCAUACAAAAUUCUAUUCAACCUACUCCAGACUGGGAAGGUCAGGUGUGUGUGUUUAGUCCUGCAUGCACAAGGAUGGUUAAGUAGUGCACCAUUGUGGCAUUAAAUGACACUGAAGAGGAAGUGGUUAUCUUUUUACUCCAUUGAAUAUUUCAGAUAAUAUCAAGGAAGUGUGAGCUGGAAGAUGGUCUUCUUUCAAAUUCUUUGCUUCUCAAAGGGUGGUCCUCAAAUCAGUACUGCAGGAGGGAUUAUUAGAAAUACAAUCCAGAUGUGGCCUGAGAUAGAUUGGAUCAGAAUCUGUUUUUUACCAAGAAAUCCAUGUGAUUUGUGUGCAUAGUAAUAUUUGAGAUGGCCCUACUAGGGGUGUGCUAGAAUUACUUCUUUACUGGGUUUCUCGAAGUUGAAGGUCAAAUUUUCAUUAACAGCCAAAACAGGUUAGUGGUCACAUUGGAAGUUUGAAAUCGGCCUGAGUGGAAAUCAGAAAACACUCCAAAUCAGGGAUUUGUUUUUUUUCUUUUAGAGAGUCCCUUGUUAAAUGUUUACUAGUUUGCCUCUAACUAUUGCUGAUCUUUUUAACAAAUAGAGAGAUGACCUCAGGCUUUGAUGGUACCCACAUUAGUCAAAGUAAAACCUUAUAUAAAAUGUGAUCCUUCUUUUCUUCUGCUUGCUUAUCUUCACAAUGAAAAUGAUUAAUAAUAAUACAUAUAUCAGGAUUAUUUUGAAGAUUAGAUGCUUGUGUUCCUUCUUCAUGUUUUAAUAUUAUCAAGGCUCUUUCUAAAUGUUCAUUAUUAAUCUUAUAAUUUUACAGUUACAUUCUAUUAUGACAAGUUACAUUGACUUUCCAGUUUUAAAUGAAUAUUUCAAAAACUAAGCCUGUUUCAAUAAAGGGUAAUAUAAAAAUACAGGUAGGUAAUUUAAGAAUUUGGCAACAUUUAAUGAGGCAGAAUAUGAGUGUUUCAGUGCUUAGAAGCUAUAUACAGGGAUGAGUUUUUAAAAAAAAUGACUGAUGUGGAUGAAAAAGAACUUCCACUGAACGGAGAUAAUUUUUCUCCAGAUUUCUGUCAGUGACUGCAGGGCAUUGGCAAAGUGACACCCACCAUUCCUCUGAAAAAAUGGAAAAUUGCACACCGUCUCUGUGGGUUGACAUAUACUUUUAUUCCCCAAACACUUGGAGAAGUCAGACAUGUCAUUUUCACAAAGAAUUGUCAAAGAAGAGUGUGCCUUUUUUUGGCAUGGACUCUUGGGAGACCAUGGCCAUUAUGGAUUUGGUGGGUUAGGGGAAAAAGAGGAGUGUGUGAUCUCUGGGUGAACUUGCAAGUAAUGAUUUAAAAACUGCCUCAGAUACUUAUCCAUUCAGAGAUCCUGGAGGUUUUGAUGGACUUGUUCCUGUCCGUGGGUUGACUGAAAUGUUCUUUCACAUUGAGCCCCUCCUCAGUUGGCUAAUUCCUUCUCAACAUGGAGGAGACACCUCCUCCUGGAAGCCUUCUUUUCUACUGCCAAGAUGAGUGGCAUAUCAGCACUCUGUAUUCCUCUAUCCCUCCCAAGACCACUUUUUUAUUAAUAUGGCAAUUAUGUGUUUUUUAUCUUUCCCAAUUACGUUGUUUGCUCCUUGAGUAUAGGAGCUCUGACCUGUUUGCUUUUCUAUCCCCAGUGAAUGACACAUAAUAAAAUAUGUAUCAUUAAUUAAAAUAAUAAAAGAAUGGGUUGUGUUAAGAGAGAAUUUUGAAGUGACUUUCCCUAGGUUCAAAUAAUGGUUCUGUCCUUACGGAGAUGUUCCUUAAGCAAGUCAUUUAAUGAAUUCUCUGCCUUGGUUUUGAACACAACAACUCAGGGUAUUGAAAGCUUUAUUUAACUGUAAGAUAUGUUGGCAAUGGAUGAUUUUUGUAGCUACACACAUAUCCCAUUAGUCAUAUAUUCAUUCUAGCUUGUGAAUCUCUGUCAUUAUAUAAAAUUGUUCCCAAGUUUAUAAUGACUUUUGCCUGAUUCUGGCGAGUUUAGAUAGGCCCUCUAUCAUGUAUAUCACCUUCUACCUGCAUCUCACUUGGUAGUUUCCAUAAUAGAAGUAUCUAUUAUGAUUUGAUGUUGGAAUUAAGCUUUACCAUAGCAGAAUCAUUAACAACAAGAUUCCCAAAGGUAUUUGGCACAAUUCACAGGGUAUAUUCCUGCCGAUCUAUCCUCACUGCUUUACCAAGAUUACCUCCUUUGGUCCUCAAAAUAAACUGUUAGGUCCAUAUUAUUAACAAUGUUGUCAUUCUUGCAGUUGUCAUUAAUUAAGCCCGGGUUGUACCCAGGUAAGUGUAAGGACUAGAAUGUAAGCCCCAAACAGGCCUGUACUAGAGGUCACUUGCAGGACCCUCUGCUGCAUCUAUAUAACUUGGGUCACUGGAGAACAACACAUGUGGCUUUUGAGCCCUGAACUAGGCCUGCCAUAGAAAGGGUAUAUUUGAAAAGAGAAUAAGUCUCUUCCCUGGGAAGCAGGGAGGCAGAAACAUGGACCAGAAUGUAUCUAACCAUCUGCAUAAAAUGGACAAGCCCUUCCCUUUCCUGCCUCCCCUUGACACUUUGGGGAAGAUUUUUGUGUAACUUUUUGCCACUCCUGGGCCUUGCUUACUUUUAUUGUAUAAGUCACGUAGCUCUAUUCUUUGCUUCUCUUUUUUUACUAAAGCCUCUGCAGGUCAGGGACCCUGUCCCCAUGACUCUCAUAUUCUGACUGAGGAUAAUCACAUGAAUUACAGUUUGGUACAGUUUAGCUUCCCACCUUUUUGUUGUUUUUGUGUGUCUUAGUUCUGAACCACACCCGCUGCUGCCCUGUACGAUAGGGAUUAUUUUUAUGGCCAUUCUGCAUUUGAGAAAACUGAAGCUCAGGCAACUUUAACAUCUUGUCCGUUACUGCAGAGGUAGCAAGUUGGGUGAGCAUGGAUUCAAUUCUGAGGCUCUCUGCUUCCAGAACAGACACUCUCUGCCAUAGCCCAAUACUCCUUCAGCAUGGCUCCCUACCGUCUUGCUGGGAGAGAGCUUGGCACCCCAAGGAUAUCCUGCAGAUGCCUCUUCAGUAAAUAAAUGGUUUGGCAAUUCAGAAAGGGACAGAUAUUUGGGGACUACUUCAUUGGGACCAGUUCUGAAGCCUGCGGAUCUGUGUUUUUACCUUGGGAUCAAAGUGGGUCUUAAGGGAAGACUUGAUUUCCCUGGGUGUGCUGCAGUAUUAGGGAAAGAAGACGACAUUGUUCUGGAGUGUUCUCUGAGUUGGUGCCCAAGGGAAAGCCGCUGUCUUCCACUUCCAAAACAACUGUUGCUUGCAGGGGCGCCCUGCACAUUCAUCAGGGUGGGGCCCUUUUGAGUCCUAGAAAUCGAACUGAGGACAGACAGAGUGACAAGCAGGGGGACCCAUCUGGCCAUCUUGUUAGAGGGGACACUGCCUGUAUUUACAAGCAGCAUCAGUGUCUGCUCCUUUCAUCUGGCUCCACUAAGCCACUCACCAGCCUACCCAGUGUUAAAGAGUUUUUUGCUUUCGCAUUUGGAGCCAGAAUAGAACCAGAGACGCAGAGGUGAAAGGUUCCCUACCCUAUUAUGAAUUCCCUGAGCCAAACCAUUCCCACAGGUGUCCUGAGGAAUUAUUUUCCCAUUUAAUCUAAUUCCGUGAGGCUUCUCUCUGGAAUCUGUAGUGAACAUUUAUUUUUUCUUUAAAAAUAAUCUUUGUGAGAAGGAAGAAACAAAUUUUGCUACACCAAAGGUAAGCAAAAAAUGUAUUUGACAACUCAGGUGAUGGGGAUUUCUUUAUUUAUUUUGCUCAUCCCUUUCUGAAUUUCUUCAACUGAAAAUUUUAUUUUUACUGUAUUUCAUUCCCAAAGGAAUUUUUUUUUUCAUAAUUCAAAUCUCCCGUUCAACUGUACAUUUACAACAGGAGCCCUGACACUGUCCUGAUUAUGGCAUAUAGGCUGGACAUUACAGAAUCCCUCUCUGGGAACAUUCUAAUUUUAUUCCUUCAUUAUUAGCAUCCUGUUAGAGAAUUGUAUUCUGUACCCUGAAAUGGAAAUAGUCCUGUCUGAUGGAAAUUGGUAGGGGAGACCAUAAAAAUUAGAUAAAUUCCUUUUCCCACUCCUAUUCCUAUUAUUAUUAUUAUUUAAAUUUACUCAUUAGAUUUCGAGUUUCUUCACAGAGUUCAGCAUACCCUGUCUUUUAACAAGGUUUUUCAUGUUUUUUUUUUUUUUUAAAGAAAAUGGUCAGAGGCGAUCUAUUCUGCGUACACCCCCAACUUCAUUACAAAGAAGAAUCUAAGAAGAGAGAGAAGGGGGGACCAGACAGAGGGAAGGAAGGACAAAAGUUAAGAAGAAAUGGAGGGAGGGAAGGAGUGCAAUAGGAAAGAAAGGAGGGAAAAGAGACUUAGGGCUUGAAGCAGUUUUUGAUAAGUGACACACCUAUGGAAUGAAUACUAAAAUCUAAAUGAAGCUUAAAAAAUCAAAGGACUUAUUAGUCUACUCAUUCUAAUUCUUCAGAUCCUCUUCCUUCACUUCAAGAGUUUGGGAAGUGCCUAUUAUCACUCACUUAGGUGCUUCUGAAAAGCAGUGAUUUGGUUUUAAAACCUGUUACAGGGGACCCUUAUCUUUCUUCCUCCUUGUUUUUGCAGGAAAUUUCAACGGAAAGGAAAGCCAAUGGAUUGUGGUCUUAGAAAAGCUGCUUAGAUGAUGUCUGUUUCCAGAGCUUUCAGCACGUGGCAGAGCUGUAAGUAAGCGCUCGGCACUGCAUGAUGAAUUGGAUGGCUGCAGACCGGAGGCAAACAAAAUAAUUGUCUCAUUUUCGUGGUGAUUUGCUUAACUGGUGGGACCAUGCCAGAACGGCUAGCGGAAAUGCUCUUGGAUCUCUGGACUCCAUUAAUAAUAUUAUGGAUUGCUCUCCCCCCUUGCAUUUACAUGGCUCCAAUGAAUCAGUCUCACGUUUUAAUGAGUGGAUCCCCUUUGGAACUAAACAGGCUGAGUGAAGAACAGCGGAUUUUGAACCGCUCCAAAAGAGGCUGGGUUUGGAAUCAAAUGUUUGUCCUGGAAGAGUUUUCUGGACCUGAACCGAUUCUUGUUGGCCGGGUAAGCUUCGUUUUUUUUAAGAUCCCGAUU
Molecule: long non-coding RNA, 14540 nt
Filed under: Marmota monax (woodchuck)
Lineage: Eukaryota; Metazoa; Chordata; Mammalia; Rodentia; Sciuridae
Source: RNAcentral